CCUACGGGGGGCAGCAGUGAGGAAUAUUGGUCAAUGGGCGAGAGCCUGAACCAGCCAAGUCGCGUGAGGGAGUACUGCCCUAUGGGUUGUAAACCUCUUUUGUCGGGGAGCAAAAGCCGGACGUGUCCGGCUGUGAGAGUACCCGAAGAAAAAGCAUUGGCUAACUCCGUGCCAGCAGCCGCGGUAAUACGGAGGAUGCGAGCGUUAUCCGGAUUUAUUGGGUUUAAAGGGUGCUCAGGCGGAUUUUUAAGUCAGCGGUAAAAUCGUGGGGCUCAACCCCAUCCAGCCGUUGAAACUGGGGAUCUAGAGUGUGCAAGAGGUAUGCGGAAUGCGUGGUGUAGCGGUGAAAUGCAUAGAUAUCACGCAGAACCCCGAUUGCGAAGGCAGCAUACCGGUGCACAACUGACGCUCAGGCACGAAAGCGUGGGUAUCGAACAGGAUUAGAUACCCUGGUAGUC
This 458-nucleotide ribosomal RNA is filed under the name uncultured bacterium. RNAcentral's name for it is "partial 16S ribosomal RNA". It matches the Rfam family "Bacterial small subunit ribosomal RNA", at positions 338 to 795 of the family's 1533-position model. The record is from RNAcentral.